This 347-nucleotide transfer-messenger RNA is filed under the name Ruminococcus bromii. It matches the Rfam family "transfer-messenger RNA". Rfam says of the family: Bacterial tmRNA, also known as 10Sa RNA or SsrA, is named for its dual tRNA and mRNA-like properties. Its role is to liberate the mRNA from a stalled ribosome. Lineage: Bacteria; Bacillati; Bacillota; Clostridia; Eubacteriales; Oscillospiraceae. RNAcentral also lists the same sequence under 2 other names. The record is from RNAcentral.
GGGGAUGUAAAGGUUUCGACGGGGAUUUCAAACCUUGGUAAGCGAGCGGCGGUGCGGAACCGCCAUAAAAUCCGCAACUUUAAAAUUAACUGACAACAAAACAGUUGCUUUAGCAGCCUGAGUGCUGCUCGUUCCUGCACAGAGUACCUCGACUGUGUAAGGGGCGUCGAUUAGAGGUAAAUGUGAACAGGGGAGCGCUCCGAACCCUGUCACAGCUUAGGAGCUGCCAAAGUGCAUAGCCUGUUGAUGGGCGAUGCACCGAGGGAGAUUUAAAACACCAACUGCGCUCGGAGAAACCCUUGGCAAGAUUUUUUCGGACAGGGGUUCGAUUCCCCUCAUCUCCACCA